CCUACGGGAGGCAGCAGUGGGGAAUUUUGGACAAUGGGCGCAAGCCUGAUCCAGCAAUGCCGCGUGAGUGAAGAAGGCCUUCGGGUUGUAAAGCUCUUUUGUCAGGGAAGAAACGGUCUACUCUAAUACAGUGGGCUAAUGACGGUACCUGAAGAAUAAGCACCGGCUAACUACGUGCCAGCAGCCGCGGUAAUACGUAGGGUGCAAGCGUUAAUCGGAAUUACUGGGCGUAAAGCGUGCGCAGGCGGUUAUAUAAGUCAGAUGUGAAAUCCCCGGGCUCAACCUGGGAACUGCAUUUGAGACUGUAUGGCUAGAGUGUGUCAGAGGGGGGUAGAAUUCCACGUGUAGCAGUGAAAUGCGUAGAUAUGUGGAGGAAUACCGAUGGCGAAGGCAGCCCCCUGGGAUAACACUGACGCUCAUGCACGAAAGCGUGGGGAGCAAACAGGAUUAGAUACCCUGGUAGUCCACGCCCUAAACGAUGUCUACUAGUUGUCGGGACUUAAUUGUCUUGGUAACGCAGCUAACGCGUGAAGUAGACCGCCUGGGGAGUACGGUCGCAAGNUUAAAACUCAAAGGAAUUGACGG
This 585-nucleotide ribosomal RNA is filed under the name uncultured bacterium. RNAcentral describes it as "bacterial SSU rRNA". It matches the Rfam family "Bacterial small subunit ribosomal RNA", at positions 338 to 916 of the family's 1533-position model. The record is from RNAcentral.